CUGCUUACCAUGCAGUCGAGCGGCAGCACUCGGGACCUAUCCUGCGUGGCGAGUGAGCGAACGGGUGAGUAAUAUAUCGAUAACGUGCCCAGUAGUGGGGGAUAGCCCGGCAAAAGCCGGAUUAGUACCCCAUACAACCUGAGGGUGAAUCCGGGGGAUCGCAAUACCUCGCGCUAUUGGAGCGGCCGAUAUCAGAUUAGCUAGUUGGUGGGGUAAAGGCCUACCAAGGCUACGAUCUGUAGUUGGUCUGACAGGACUACCACUCACACUGGGACUGAAACACGGCCCAAACUCCUACGGGAGGCUAUUGUGGGGAAUUUUGGACAAUGGGCGCAAGCCUGAUCCAGCAAUGCCGCGUGCAGGAAGAAGGCCUUCGGUUUGUAAACUGCUUUUGUCAGGGAAGAAAUCUUCUGGGCUAAUACCCCGGGAGGAUGACGGUACCUGAAGAAUACUCACCGGCUAACUACGUGCCAGCACCCGCGGUAAUACGUAGGGUGCGAGCGUUAAUCGGAAUUACUGGGCGUAAAGCGUGCGCAAGCGGCUUUGCAAGACCCAUGUGAAAUCCCCGGGCUCAACCUGGGAACUGCAUUUGUGACUGCCAGGCUAGAGUACGGCAAAUGGGGAUGGAAUUCCGCGUGUAGCAGAGAAAUGCGUAGAUAUGCGGAGGAACACCAAUGGCNAAGGCCAUCCUCUGCGCCUGUACUGACACUCAUGCACGAAAGCGUGGGGAGCAAACCCGAUUAGAUCCCCUGGUAGUCCACGCCCUAAACGAUGUCAACUGCUUGUUGGACGGCUUGCUGUUCAGAAACGAAGCUAACGCGUGAAGUUGACCGCCUGGGGAGUACUGACACAAGGAUGAAACUCAAAGGGACUCGACGGAGACCCGCACAAGCGGGGGUAUGAUGUGCUUUACUUCGAUGAUACUCGAGGAUCUUUACAACG
Molecule: ribosomal RNA, 942 nt
Filed under: uncultured bacterium
Lineage: Bacteria
Description: bacterial SSU rRNA
Rfam family: Bacterial small subunit ribosomal RNA
Source: RNAcentral